CUUCUAGUUACUUUAAAAAUUCUUAAGUUAGUUUCUGAUUCUUUUUGAAUGUUUAAGCUUCAAACUACUGAACCAAAUAGCUGCAACAUGUGACCUCCAGAAGUAUUCUUACUCCGGGUGUUUCAAGAUGACGGUCGGACAUUCUUCUUUUUCAAUAAUUUUGAAGUUUUGAUGGUUGUGAACGAGCUGGAGCAGCCAGUGUUGAUUCUCCAUCUAUUAAUAUAUAUGUGUGUCCAAAGUCUACUAGUUUUUUGUGGCGUAGCCCUUAUUAAUCAUUUUUUGCAGUUUGGUGAACAAAAGAAUCACGUUAAUCUUUAGCUUUCUCUGGAGGUGGUCUUCUUGGACCUUGAACGCCUUUCUCUGGUAAGAUCAGUUUGGGAUAGAAUAUCAAUUGUAUCACUUCAACAUUGGGUGAAGAAGCCAUAUGUCCUGCGGCUCCUGCCACUAAAAAGUAUCAAGCAUCAAAAUAUAGAGUGCCAAAUUGAUGAGGCCAAGAGGGAAGAAGCAAUUGGGGAUAGAGAGUGUGUGAAAAGGUCUUAUGCUCUGGGACCAUAUUUGAUUUCCAAGUUGAUCGUUGGUAUUCCUCUUGGAGCAGGAUUUCCGAAUGACUUGACUUCAUCCUAAAAUUUCUAGGUGCAGGUGAAAGGUGAGAAUGAUCAUGAAGGAAAAUUUGGAUCCUAGAGUCGUUCAAGCGAAGUGAAGUAUAUCCUCACUUGACUCGAGGACAUACAUAUAUGUCUUUAUUUCAAAGUAUUGUAAUAGACUAAGUAUUUCUAUAUGAUUGAAGUAUGGCCCGUGUC
This is a long non-coding RNA of Solanum pennellii, 800 nucleotides long. RefSeq lists it as uncharacterized. Lineage: Eukaryota; Viridiplantae; Streptophyta; Magnoliopsida; Solanales; Solanaceae. The record is from RefSeq and is a predicted model, not a curated record. The transcript is spliced from 3 exons.